GGGGCUGUAGCUCAGCUGGUAGAGCGCCGCCAUGGCAUGGCGGAAGUCAGGGGUUCGAGUCCCCUCAGCUCCA
This 73-nucleotide transfer RNA is filed under the name Patulibacter sp. RNAcentral's name for it is "tRNA-Ala". It matches the Rfam family "tRNA". From Rfam's summary of the family: Transfer RNA (tRNA) molecules are approximately 80 nucleotides in length. Their secondary structure includes four short double-helical elements and three loops (D, anti-codon, and T loops). Further hydrogen bonds mediate the characteristic L-shaped molecular structure. tRNAs have two regions of fundamental functional importance: the anti-codon, which is responsible for specific mRNA codon recognition, and the 3' end, to which the tRNAs corresponding amino acid is attached (by aminoacyl-tRNA synthetases). tRNAs cope with the degeneracy of the genetic code in two manners: having more than one tRNA (with a specific anti-codon) for a particular amino acid; and 'wobble' base-pairing, i.e. permitting non-standard base-pairing at the 3rd anti-codon position. The record is from RNAcentral. RNAcentral also lists the same sequence under 1 other name. Lineage: Bacteria; Bacillati; Actinomycetota; Thermoleophilia; Solirubrobacterales; Patulibacteraceae.